This 486-nucleotide ribosomal RNA is filed under the name uncultured bacterium. RNAcentral describes it as "partial 16S ribosomal RNA". It matches the Rfam family "Bacterial small subunit ribosomal RNA", at positions 28 to 506 of the family's 1533-position model. The record is from RNAcentral.
GAUGAACGCUAGCGAUAGGCUUAACACAUGCAAGUCGAGGGGCAGCACAAGGUAGCUUGCUAUCUGGGUGGCGACCGGCGCACGGGUGCGUAACGCGUAUGCAACUUGCCCUAUACAGGAGGAUAACCCGUCGAAAGACGGACUAAUACUGCGUAUGCUCACAACUUGGCAUCAAGUGGUGAGGAAAGAAAUUCGGUAUAGGAUAGGCAUGCGUCCCAUUAGCUUGUUGGUGAGGUAACGGCUCACCAAGGCAACGAUGGGUAGGGGAACUGAGAGGUUUAUCCCCCACACUGGUACUGAGACACGGACCAGACUCCUACGGGAGGCAACAGUGAGGAAUAUUGGUCAAUGGGCGCGAGCCUGAACCAGCCAAGUCGCGUGAAGGAUGACUGUCUUAUGGAUUGGAAACUUCUUUUAUACGGGAAUAACAAGAGUCACGUGUGACUCCCUGCAUGUACCGUAGGAAUAAGCAUCGGCUAACUCCGU